This 54-nucleotide ribosomal RNA is filed under the name Cyclocybe aegerita. Its description in RNAcentral is "partial 28S ribosomal RNA". The record is from RNAcentral. Lineage: Eukaryota; Fungi; Basidiomycota; Agaricomycetes; Agaricales; Hemipholiotaceae.
AAUAAAUAAGACCUAAUUUUAUUAAGAACAGUAAAAAAUAGAAUAAAUUAAAGC